UGGCAUCUGGCUGAAAAUGCCAAAGUUUCUCUUACAGUCAUUUCUCCAAUAUGGAGAUCAUGUUGACUGAUAUAGGCAGCUGUUCUCUGGGGUAUGAACUCAUUCAAUGUAUGAGCAUUGUAUGUCACAUUACCAGAAACCUUCAGAUUAGGAUCAAGCUUCCCAGCCAGUGCCAACAAGAGAGUGGUCUUCCCAGAGCUUGGAGGACCCAGAAGCAAAGUCAUUCUUGAUGGCUUGAUGACUCCACUAACAUCCUUAAGGAUGGUCAGUGGUCUCUUUCUAUUUGGAAGGACAUGAAGACAAUUCAAGAAAACCUCUGCAAUGCUCAUCGUGAAGUUAAGGAAUGAAGGCAAAGCAUUACUUCCCACUAAAGCUUCUGCUUCAAUAUUUAGAUGCUCAUACCGGACUUCAAUAGUUGGAAUUUCAAUUCCAACCCUGUCAAUACGGUUCUUAAGCUUUAACAAGAACUUCUCAUUAUCCUCUUCAGCAACUUUGACCAACCUCUCUAACAAAGUUUUCCUUUCUUGAAAUCCAAGAUUGUCUACAUCGAUCUCAUUAGCUCCACCUUUGGAUACACUAACCAAGAUGCCUUUCCUCAGACGAUCAUAGGUAGGUAGCUUCUCAAGCGCAGCCCAUUUUAGAGCCUCUUCAUCGUCUUCAUCUCGUGAAGAUCUUGAAAAAACAUCCAACCCAUUGUUUCUAAAUACAGAAGAGCUCCCUCUUCGCAAACUAGUACUUGCUCUGUAAUGAUCACCCUCCAUUGGAAGAGGUUUAGAACUUCAGAACCAAAAACAACUAAAACCCACCAGCACAAACAGGAAUUAUUACUCUGUUUACGUUCUUGAUUUCAGAAAAAGAAUUAAAGAAAUCCCAAAUUUAAGUUCUUGAGCUUAAAGCACACACAAAAAUGUGAAUUGGGUUUCUCUGUCUGCAAGAACGAGUUGAAGAGGAAGAGCCUUUUAUAGGGAAAGGACCGUACGACUGGCGGCCGAAGAACAUUCAAACUCUU
Molecule: unclassified non-coding RNA, 1009 nt
Filed under: Hevea brasiliensis (rubber tree)
Lineage: Eukaryota; Viridiplantae; Streptophyta; Magnoliopsida; Malpighiales; Euphorbiaceae
Source: RNAcentral